CAGUGUAAUUACUUAUCAAAACAUGUUUUAAGCUACAGCAUCUCUGUUAAAUUUAGAAAUGUGAAACAUGGAAGAGUUAUCAACUUGGAAUACAAUACUAAAACUGAAUAUAACUGACCCAAAACUACCUGUCAAAAGCACAGUAAAGCUUAACAGGCAUAAAAACUAAGGGGUAAAACCCAACUGCUCUGACAUAAGAGUGAAAAACAGCAAAUGCAAACCAUCAGGUUAAAGUGAAUCACAAAACAUUAGGCAUGUAGAGCAUGUUUUAAAAAUAGGAAAAUGACACUGAGCUGUAUUACCA
RNAcentral lists this long non-coding RNA (304 nucleotides) under Homo sapiens (human). RNAcentral describes it as "LHRI_LNC1656.1". The record is from RNAcentral. Lineage: Eukaryota; Metazoa; Chordata; Mammalia; Primates; Hominidae.